GUCCACGCCCUAAACGAUGGGCACUCAGUGUGGGAGGUAUCGACCCCUCCCGUGCCGCACCUAACGGAUUAAGUGCCCCGCCUGGGGAGUACGGCCGCAAGGUUGAAACUCAAAGGAAUUGACGGGGGCCCGCACAAGCGGUGGAGCAUGUGGUUCAAUUCGACGCAACGCGAAGAACCUUACCUGGGUUUGACAUGCUGGUAGUAGCGAACCGAAAGGGGAGCGAGCCCCGCAAGGGGACGCCAGCACAGGUGCUGCAUGGCUGUCGU
RNAcentral lists this ribosomal RNA (269 nucleotides) under uncultured bacterium. Its description in RNAcentral is "partial 16S ribosomal RNA". It matches the Rfam family "Bacterial small subunit ribosomal RNA", at positions 793 to 1055 of the family's 1533-position model. The record is from RNAcentral.